Cercocebus atys (sooty mangabey) is the source of this 4681-nucleotide long non-coding RNA. NCBI's taxonomy places the organism in Eukaryota, Metazoa, Chordata, Mammalia, Primates, Cercopithecidae. The record is from Ensembl.
UAUAGAAACAGAUUUUUUAAUAUAAAACAUCUUAUACAUUUGAUGGGGUAAUUCUCUUAGCUUAGGUAUUAUUGAAUAGUUUAAUGAUAUCUUCUUAUUCCCAUGCAUCAAAAUACCUCUUACAAUUUUGAGAAGCCAGUCCCUGUGCUUUGGGAAUUUCUAGCAGUCAGAAAUUUAAUGAUCAAUCGAAAUUUGGACCUUAAUGAAUCAUUAUCUAUUAUGUUUUUUUCUCACAGUGAUUCAGGAUGCUGUUUCCAGAUGACAAUCAUCCAAAAAAAAGAACUACUGCUGUAAGGAAAAAAGGAGAGCUACAUGAGGACCACACAACUCCUGGAAGAGGUUUCCCUGGCAACACAACUUUUCCAUUCAUCUGGUUGCAGUGUUUUCAUCCAGUAGCCUGUCACCUCACUCAAAAGCAGGGCAGAUUUAUAAAGGAAGCUGCUGGAGGGAAUUCAUUCCCUUUUCGCUGUUCGGCCUUCCACCUUUCACUGUGUGAGGACACUGCAAGAAAGUCCUCAUCAGACACCAAUUGCCAGCACCUAGAUCUUGGAAUUCUCAGCCUCCAGAACUGUGAGAAAUACAUUUUUAUUUUUCUAUAAAAUAAUAAUAAUAAUAAUAAACUUCCAUGCAGGAAAAAAAAAUCAAGUUCAAAUGUCCUGUGGUGAGGGCAUGCCAGCUUUGUUUGAGAAGCAGUAAUCAUGCCUGUGUGACUGUAAUGAAAGAAUAAAAGAUAAAUUAGCAUGGAAUAAUGUAAUGUAGUCCUUUUCACUUUAAGCAAGAAACUUGGCUUCAAUUCUAAAUCUGGUAAGAAAAAAAUAGAAGGUUCCAAACUAAGAAGUGACAUGAUAUGAAAUGUUUUAACAGAAUCACCUUUGUUACCAUAUUGCAAAUAAAAUGAAAGUGCAUCAAGGGCAGAAGUAGGAAGGCAAGUUAUGAGAUUGUUUUGAUAAUCCAGAGGAGUUGGGAUGGUGACUUAAAGCAGUAUGGUAGCGAUCGGUUGGGUAAGAACAUGGAAUCCUGGGUAUUUAUUAAAGGUUCAGCAAAAAGGAUUUACAGAUGAAACAGAUAUGGGUCAUGAGAAAGAGUCAAGGUAAAGAUUAUAUCAAAAUUUUUUAUCUGAACAACUCGUGGUGUUGUGGUAAAUCCUUACCCCAACAAUUUACAUGACCAAUAACUGAGUGGGAACAUUAAGGAGGGGAUGGUUUGAGGAAGAAUCAGGAUCUCAGGUUGGAAAUGUUAAGAUGAAUAUGCCUAUUUAACAAUCAAAUGAAAAAUAGUAUUUUUGUAAUUUUCAGUAUUUAUUUGGCAAGAGAUUAAAUAAUCUAUAGCAUUGUUACUACUUUCUCUUUUUCAUAAAAGUUAUUUUGGAAUAAAAUCAACCUGACUGGAAACUAUUCAAAUAUAUAAGCCUUUAGCUCUGACCUAUUACUUAUUUUUUUUGCCAUUAAUAAUAUGAAUAUCCACCAAACAAGAACUUGAGACUAUAACUCUUUUCUCCACUAAAUCUUCAUAUUAAAUUAGUCAUUUAAAUAUGAUUAUUCUUUUCAUUUAUUGCUAAAUACUUUCCAUUACAUUCAAACUUAUUGAGACAUCCUUAAAUUUUAUAAUUUAUUUAAUGUAUUAAUUCCUUAGCUUCUAAACUGGUUCUCUCUACUGCAACUCUAUUUUCUUCUUAAUAACUCAUCAUCUACAUUCCCCAAUGUCUUAUUUUUCCAAAACAAAAGUGCACUCAUGUCCUUCUAAGGCAUACAUUUCUUUAAUGGCUUUCUAUUGUUAUAGAUAAAGUUCAAACUUAUUAUGACAGCCUAUAAUUUGGGGGAAAAAACUCACCUAAAAACAGUUUUUAAAAGAUUAAAAUUCAAAUGCUUGAAAUUUCAGUUAUUUUAUGAACUUUCUAUUCAAACAUGUCAAGGAGCUAAGACAUUACAUACUACACUACUACUAGUACUACUACAAAUCAUAAUAAUAACAACAACAAUUAUAGUUACUCAUCUUAGUUUCGGCAGAGGAUACCAUUUCUACAAAGAAUGUAAUUAGAUUGUAGAUAUUAAAAUAGUUACUAGACAGAAACUAGGAUGAUGGUAACAUUGACUUUUGAUCUGAGUCCUGGCUAUAUGUUUUCUGUUUGAAAAAAGUCAUUAAGAAUAAUAUUAUAAUUUUUAUAAUUUUAGAAUGCAUAUUAUAACAACACAUUUUUUAAACUGAGAAUUUAAGAUUUAAAAAGUAUAGUAGGGGAAGAGAAGGAAAAUAUUUUUUUUCUGUGCUUGUUUUAAUAAAUAAUGCCACUGAGGAUGUAAGUUUUCAAUGUCUAAUUAUUAAAUCAGCAUUACUUUCAUUAUUUUAACAACUUUCAUGGGGUUCUUAUAUUGAGACUCAAAUUAAAUAUGUAAUAUUAAUCCUAAUAUAGUUAUUUAUUUCCUAACAAGAGCAUAAACCUUCCAAAAAUUUUAUUCUGCAUAUUUAUAACUGAAUUUAUGAUUCUGACAUAUUUUUUUUCAAAUCAUGUCCAUCAAUAUAUGAACAGGCAUUGAAUUUAUCCAUAUUUACUUAUGUCUUUCUUCAGCCCCUCUGUCAACCCACUUAUCUUUUUGAUAGCUCAGUGAGCUGGCACUAGUUUCGUACCUCAGGAUGUUUACUCUGGCUAAUUUAGUCACUGAUCUUCUAAUGUCUGGUGCUUGGCAAUAAAGUCCCAGUUGGAGUUUUCAACCAACAGCAGUUUGCAUUCAGUUACUUAAUCUCUGUUUUGCAAUCUUAGUACCUUCCUUUCUGAUUGAAUGAAGACAAUUGCUCCUAGGGAUACCUGAACCUGAAAUGAACUGAAAAUAUUUUAUAGCUUUUCAACUUGCCAGGCAGUAGAAGAAAAAUUCAUACCAAUCCCAUUGCUACAAACAGCUGUUACUAUAAGGUGAUAUUGCUAUGGAAUCUUAAAAUAGAACAAGGCGAAUACCAUCCCUGUGAGGGUUCUACUAUAUUUUGUGGAUCUCCAGCUGGAAACUUAAUUGUAAUUUAAACUGAUCAUACAGAAACAGCUUUCCUGCUUCUAUUCAGCAUACUUUCACGGAAUUGGAUAAUUUAAUAAGUUAUAACACUCUCUAGUAUGAAGCUGCGUACAAUUCUAGGAGGAGAGACAAUGUGAUCUUUGAUUCCCUAUUAUCUUUAUCUUCCUGCAUUAUAUUCUUCCAGGACUUUAGCUAAUACCUCUCCCCAUCACAAUAAAGUCUUUAAACACUUAGAAUCAAUUUUCUGUUUCUUGUGUCCAUAUCCUAUAGCCAAAGAUCACCAGGAACACUCCUGAGUUUAUUCUUGUUUGCAGCAAUAAAUACCUCACACAAUGGGGAAAUCUGAGGUUAUCUCAGUUAGAGGGUAUUAAAAGAACCUGUUGUAUCAUUUGGGAUUUGGUUAUUUGAGGAAGAAAUUAAGGAAGCAAGACUGCCCUGGAUUGCCUGUUACCAGGAAAUGGGAGCAAUUUUAUGAUUGGGUAUGUCACCAAAUCUUACCUAUAUGGAUGAUAUACUAGAGUGAGGCUAAUGUAAUUGAGGAUAAAGUAACUGCUAAAGAAACAACAGUCACUUGUAUCUGGUAUGUUGUGACCUGGACAAUGUUCCUGUUUUGUUUAUGCUUAGAUAAAAUUAAGGAUUGUUCUUGUUUUUGUCAUUGUCCAUCUUGGUCACUGAAUGGUCUUAUUUUAGUUUAGGGUUCUGUGAAAUAGUUUAUGUUCAACAGGAGACUUAAGGACUUAGCUGAGAGUUUCAGUCCAGAUCAUGAAUGUGAGGGCCUCCAUUUUUACUUUCUCACUUAUAUCUAUUAAUAAAUAUUAAUAAAAUGUUGCACAGUAAAGUAUAAAAUGGAAAAAGGAAAUAGUAUGAAAUUAAGGUAAUUCCUCAUCAGGAUAUUGCUUGAUUUAUUAUUUAUUAUGCAAAGACCUGCAAAACAACAGUAUCAGUCUUUAAUAGUAGAAUCUUUUUUUCACAUCAAAUUCUGGGGAGGAUAGUAUUAAUCAAGGCAAUAGGCAAUGCCAGGUAGAGGUUUUAAUAUACCUCUAAAAACUUGGCAAAUACAAGGUCAGUCUUUUUUGCCCUCUUUCUAUUUGCAAUUGUAAUUUUCUAUGUGCUUUGUUUCUAAGUUAGAGCAUUUCUAAAUUAAAGAAACCAAAGACACGUUUAAAAUAUUCUAAGAUCAAAAUAUAAUUUUCGAUGCCAUUACUAUGCUAUAUUAAAAUUAUCUUUAUUUUAUGCUGAAUAUAUAAUACUUCUCUACAAGAAGCCUCUUUAUCUUGCUUGAUUGGGACAAUUAUUCAAUUAGUCAAUUGAAAAAUUAGGUUAAAUUGGGAAACCAUAAAGCAGCAAAAAAUGUAGCCAUAUAUUAAAAGUUUUUUUUUUUUUUAAAUUUAAAACAUAUACAGACACUGUAUGAUGUAAAGAUAACGUCUUUACUUUGAGACUUUUUUGGCUGAUUUGUAUUCCACCUUUUUUACAUAAAACUCAUCUUCAGUCUUUAAUUACAAUAUCUAACCUUGUUCCCAUUAGGUGAAGUGAGAAGUCCAGAAGGUGUAGAGUAGAAGAGAGAGAUGGCUACUAGCCAUGGUAGUUCAGCCAGUACAUUUUCAAAAUGAAAUGGAAAACUUUAGAUUGCUUAAGUAAAUACAUAUUAAUUGAGCUUCUAUAUAUUCAGUAUAUGAGAC